Molecule: unclassified non-coding RNA, 397 nt
Filed under: fungal sp.
Lineage: Eukaryota; Fungi
Description: partial internal transcribed spacer region
Rfam family: Eukaryotic small subunit ribosomal RNA (bases 1-46)
Source: RNAcentral
AAGUCGUAACAAGGUUUCCGUAGGUGAACCUGCGGAAGGAUCAUUAAUACGCUUUUGUUUGUAACAAAACAAAACGUUUUAAACCCCAAAAAUUGAAUAGUGGAAACAUAACUUCCGGAUGCGAAUGUUGGGGAACUUGAGUAAAAUCGGUUCUUUGAAAUAGGGACUUCAAGCAAUUGACACUUCAGAGUAGAGCAGUGAGGUGAAACUCGAAAGAGUUUGGUUCUGAAAAACAUUUGUAUCCGGUUAUCAAAAGUGUUCUACAACAUCAUUAAACAAUAAACCCCAUGUACAACAACUUGAACUAAACAUUUUUUUGUUGUCUGCUUUGCGGCAGAUGUGCAAAGAAAAAACCUGAACUUAAGAACAACUCUUAACAACGGAUAUCUUGGUUCUC